This 876-nucleotide ribosomal RNA is filed under the name uncultured bacterium. RNAcentral describes it as "bacterial SSU rRNA". It matches the Rfam family "Bacterial small subunit ribosomal RNA", at positions 8 to 916 of the family's 1533-position model. The record is from RNAcentral.
AGAGUUUGAUCCUGGCUCAGAAUCAACGCUGGCGGCGUGCCUAACACAUGCAAGUCGCACGAGAAAGGGUAGCAAUACCUGAGUACAGUGGCGCACGGGUGAGUAACACGUGAAUUAUCUACCUCCGAGUGGGGAAUAACUGAGAGAAAUCUUAGCUAAUACCGCAUAACACUUACGAGUCAAAGCAGCAAUGCGCUUGGAGAGGAGUUCGCGGCCGAUUAGUUAGUUGGCGGGGUAAUGGCCCACCAAGACGAUGAUCGGUAUCCGGCCUGAGAGGGCGCACGGACACACUGGAACUGAAACACGGUCCAGACUCCUACGGGAGGCAGCAGUGGGGAAUUUUGCGCAAUGGGGGAAACCCUGACGCAGCAACGCCGCGUGAGUGAGGAAGGCCUUCGGGUUGUAAAGCUCUUUCGCACGCGACGAUGAUGACGGUAGCGUGAGAAGAAGCCCCGGCUAACUUCGUGCCAGCAGCCGCGGUAAUACGAAGGGGGCGAGCGUUGUUCGGAUUUACUGGGCGUAAAGGGCGCGCAGGCGGCGAGUUUUGUCAGGCGUGAAAGCCCCGGGCUCAACCUGGGAACUGCGCUUGAAACGGGCUUGCUAGAGAUCGGGAGAGGAGAGUGGAAUUCCCAGUGUAGAGGUGAAAUUCGUAGAUAUUGGGAAGAACACCAGUGGCGAAGGCGGCUCUCUGGACCGACACUGACGCUGAGGCGCGAAAGCGUGGGGAGCAAACAGGAUUAGAUACCCUGGUAGUCCACGCCGUAAACGAUGUGUGCUAGACGUUGGGGAGCCUAGCUCUUCGGUGUCGCAGCUAACGCUUUAAGCACACCGCCUGGGGAGUACGGCCGCAAGGUUAAAACUCAAAGGAAUUGACGG